Long non-coding RNA from Hyposmocoma kahamanoa, 393 nucleotides. RefSeq lists it as uncharacterized. Lineage: Eukaryota; Metazoa; Arthropoda; Insecta; Lepidoptera; Cosmopterigidae. The transcript is spliced from 3 exons. The record is from RefSeq and is a predicted model, not a curated record.
AUUUGUGUGCAAGCAAUAUAUGCGGAAUAAAACUACUGGAGAUGCAUCCGGUUUGCCAUUUAUAAGCGGUAUAUUAUUUUCAGCCCUCUGGUUAAUAUAUGGACAUGCAACGGAGUGCAGUAAACUAGUACAAGCAAACCUCGUUGGCUUAUUCUUGAUGUGUGGCUAUACUACUGUUUUCUACUUUUAUACGUUGAAAAAAGCUAUAGUCGUGAAGCAAAGUGCUGCAAUUUUUUUAAUUUUUAGCCUGUUUUUAUUUAAUUUGAACAACAUAAAACUUUACCAACAUUUAGGUCUUCUGUCAACUAUAUUUGCAACAUUGACUGUAGCUGAACCAUUGCACAAAUUGAUUUUUGCUAUCCAUGCAAAGAACACACAAUGCUUUUCAGUCCC